This is a non-coding RNA of Anas platyrhynchos (mallard), 516 nucleotides long. NCBI's taxonomy places the organism in Eukaryota, Metazoa, Chordata, Aves, Anseriformes, Anatidae. The record is from RefSeq and is a predicted model, not a curated record.
GAGGAGGGUCCUAGUGAGUAAAGAAAGAAGCAAAUCACACCUCCUGGACUUCAGGGAGAAAAUUCAAGGAAGGAAUCCACCUCACCUACAGUCAUGGAGAUCAAGAGGAGUUCCCGAUUACUGAAAAAAAGUCAAACAUUGCACCAAUCUUCAAAAGAUGCCACAAGAUCCAUAGGAAAGUUAUGGAACAAGUCCUCUUGGAAGGCAUUUCUGAGCAGUUGAAAGAAGAAAAGGUGACCAGGACACAGUCACCAAUGAGCCUUACAGAAAAAGCACACCCUACAGAAAUCUAUGCCAGCACCUUAGCUCAUAACAGUGAAAACAGCUGUGCUGAAUCAAUGACCUCCUGAAGCUGUUUCUCUCUUUGCAGUCAAGCUCACAAUGCAUACCACUACUUAUGUAAGGCAAGGAAGCAUAACAAGUUGUGAAAUACAAUCCUCUGCCAGCAUGAAAACUGUCGAGAGAAGUCUUCAGCUCCAGAUCUCUAAACAGCAUAUGAUUUAAAAAAAAAAAAAA